RNAcentral lists this ribosomal RNA (194 nucleotides) under uncultured bacterium. RNAcentral describes it as "partial 16S ribosomal RNA". It matches the Rfam family "Bacterial small subunit ribosomal RNA", at positions 338 to 524 of the family's 1533-position model. The record is from RNAcentral.
CCUACGGGAGGCAGCAGUGGGGAAUAUUGGACAAUGGGGGCAACCCUGAUCCAGCAAUGCCGCGUGUGUGAAGAAGGCCUGAGGGUUGUAAAGCACUUUCAGUGGGGAGGAGGGUUGACUGGUUAAGAGCUGGUUAAUUGGACGUUACCCACAGAAGAAGCACCGGCUAACUCCGUGCCAGCAGCCGCGGUAAU